Pantherophis guttatus is the source of this 7423-nucleotide non-coding RNA. The record is from RefSeq and is a predicted model, not a curated record. Lineage: Eukaryota; Metazoa; Chordata; Lepidosauria; Squamata; Colubridae.
AGGAACUCUGGGAGUUGAAGUCCACAAGUCUUAAAAUUGGCUGAGGAACUCUGGGAGUUGAAGUCCACAAGUCUUAAAAAUUGACUGAGGAACUCUGGGAGUUGAAGUCCACAAGUCUUAAAAGUUGCCAAGUUUGGAGACCCCUGUUUUACAGAGUUUUUUUUGUUUUUCUUUUAAAAAAAGAAUAUUUAGCGGAGAUUUUGGUGGACGAGAAAGAAUGUUCUCCUUCUUUUGCAUCCCUUCCCAAAACCUCUUCACCAUAAGUAGUUAAAAGCGAGGAAACCUUCCUUGCUCUUUGGAAUUCAGACUGGAUGUUCCUGAACUGAUAUUAGAAAACCUAAAAUAAUAAGGAAUUCUGGCAGUUCAAAAUCCCCAUAUCUGGAAAUUGCCAUACAUAUGAAUUUAUAAUACAGUAGUGGCCAAAAUUGUGGAAACCUUUUGAGAAAAGUGUAUUUUUCUAAAACUAGCUAAUAACACCAUUUUUAUUUUUAUUUUUUUUGGAGCAGUACCAUAAAAUUAUAUAUCAAUGGAAAGAUAAUUUAAUCAAGAAUGUAACGCAAUCACUUUUAGGAAGGAUUUUGCUAUUAGAAGAGCAGUUACAGUAUAAAGAAAAGGGAAAAAUGAGAUACACAAAGAUGAUCACCGUAAAAAAAAAAUGAGAUAUACAAAAAUUAUCCCCGUGUCAAUUAAUGCUGCAUGAAUUACGGCCUUACACCAUCUUCCCAUGGAGUGAACCAAGUCUUUUAGUUCUGCAGCUGUUUAUAAUGUGAAACCAAGAUUGAAGGAUUGCUUCUAUUUAUUGCUGGGUCGCUUCUGACUAACAAGUUUCUUGAGUCAGCUCCAUAGAUUUUCAAUUGGGUUAUUGGUCUGGGGCAGGGGUCAGCAACCUGCGGCUCUGGAGCCGCAUGUGGCUCUUUCAUCCCUCUGCUGCAGCUCCCUGUUGCUGGUCGGCUUCACAAUUGAUAGGGCUUUUGGUUUGGUUGGUGGCAUUUAGUCCCAUUCCGCUAAUUAGAGACGGACUGUGGCUUUUCCUUGGAGUAUACUUUUAAAGAAAAUAAAACCCGAGAUACAUUCUAAUAAAACACAUUUUAUUAUAAAGAAGUAAAAAAAAAAAAAGGAUCUUACUAGCUAUUAAUUACAUCUUGGCAGCGUUCCUGCCUUGCCGGCAGAAGUUCUGGCAGACGAACAAAGAGAGAACAGUGAAGGAAUGUGGACAUGCGCAGUAGUUCAGAGAUAAGAGUCAGAUCAGUCUACCGUAAGUCUCAGAAUGGGAGCCCAGCUGACAAAUACAAGAACGCGGUGUCAAGGGCAGCUAGAGGGAAAAGGAUGCUGUGCUAGGAGGAGACUCUAUGGUGGGGGAACUGGUCUUCUGGUCAGCAAAGGAUGCCGCGCUCGGAGGAGACGACGAUGUGGGAACUGGACUUCCAGUUGGCUCCAGAAUUGAAUGGGGGCUUUGUGGCUCUUUGAGUGUUUAAGGUUGCCGACCCCUAGUCUGGGCUCUUCCCAGGCCAUUCCAGCAGUGGAAUAAGAUUAUCUUGAAACUCCAAAAAAAAAAAAAAAAAAAGUGGUGUUAUUAGCCAUCAAACCUCAAAAAUACACGUUUCCCAAAAGGUUUCCACAAUUUUGGCCACUACUGUAAGCAGGGUGGAUGAUAUACAUAUAGUUUGUAAUACGCCAGCAUCACCUUAUAGGAGAGAUCAGCGGCAUGAGAAUGUAAUGAAUGAAAUAUAAUAACAGAAGAAAAGAGAUGGAAGGGACCUUGGAGGUCGGCAGUUCAGCGGUUCGAGUCCCUGGUGCCGCAUAACGGAGUGAGCUCCCGUUACUUGUCCCAGCUUUGGCCAAGCAUACACUUACCAGAGACCUAAGGGAUGUGGUGGCUCAGUGGCUAAGACGCUGAGCUUGUCGAUUGAAAGGUCGGCAGUUCAGCGGUUCAAAUCCCUAGGGCCACGGAACGGGGUGAGCUCCCAUGACUUGUCUCAGCUUCUACCAACCUAGCAGUUCGAAAGCAUGUAAAAAAUGCAAGUAGAAAAAUAGGGACCACCUUUGGUGGGAAGGGAACAGCGUUCUGUGCGCCUUUAGCGUUGAGUCAUCCAGGCCACAUGGCCACGGAGACGUCUUUGGACAGUGCUGGCUCUUCGGCUUUGAAAUGGAGAUGAGUAACGCCCCCUAGAGUCAGGAACAACUAGCACAUAUGUGCGAGGGGAACCUUUACCUUUAUCCUGGUUGACUUCCAUCUCCUUAUCCUUCCCAUCAGGAGCAGAAACAUCCCCCAAAGUUGCAGCUAUUUAAACUUCACCGAAAGAGUUUUGAUGAUGAUAAUGAUGAUGAUUUUUCUCUUCUAUUUGGGCUCGCAGCUCCUUCUCUCUUUUUUAGAAAGAUCCCGGUUUCCAGAAGUUUAGCUAAAAUUCUUCUAGAGUUAACCGCCUUAACGUGGAUUGUUCCAAAUAUCCUGGGAUUGCAGCUUCCCAAAAUUUCUGGAUUCCGUUUUGGAAACCUGUUUUUGCUUUUCUCUUCACUUUCUUCUCUUAGACGGCUGGGGUCAGCUGGCCUCUCUCUCUCUUUACUUUGCACAAGUGAGUCAUGCUGUAAAAAUUGGGUUUGUUUUCACUAAAAAUGGAAAAGCAAGCAGAGUCCUGUUGAGAGUGGAAAAAUGAGGGAGAGAUGGAAGUCAAACACAGGAAUGUUUUAAAAAAAACAUCCCCCCCCCCAAUCUUCCUAUCUCUUCAUUCGCCCCAUUUCUUACUUUGGGACCACAGCUUUCUGCGUUUACAAGGGUACGCUCGUCUAAUUUAAAAACUUGACUGAAGAUAACUCAUCAAAAAAGAAAAGUCUUUAAAAGUGGCAUAAUAGGAAUAUUAAGUAAAACAGCCAGCCAAACACUGCAGUGUCGCACUGAAAUCUGUCAAAAGGGGCGAGACAAAGUCCUCGAAAUAUAAUCUCACCAAAAAUCCACCGUCACCCCUGCCCAAAAAUGAUUUUUUUUUUUAAUUUGAUUUAUAUGCCGCCCUUCUCCGGAGACUCAGGGUGGCUUACAAUGCGUUAAGCAAUAGCCUUCAUCCUUUUGUAUAUUUAUACAAAGUCAGCUUAUUGCCCCCACAAACUGGGUCCUCAUUUUACCUACCUUAGAAAGGAUGGAAGGCUGAGUCAACCUUGAGCCUUGGCGAGAUUCGAACCCUGCAGUAAUUGCAGGCAGCUGGUCUUAAUAACCAGCUUAAUAACAGGGUGCCUUAGACCACUGUACUACCAAGGCUUUGAAACGGUCCUUUGCCCCCACCCCCUUGAUCCGAAAUAAAUAAAUUUAUUGGAACACCGGCAGAGCGCAUUAGGCCAACCAUCACUUUUGAGGUCAACAAUGGACCUCAUAAUUCUCUUUUUACGGGGAUAGAUGUGCGUUCGGGAAGUCCUUGCCUUGUGGGCUCCAUCUCUGGAUGGAGAGAAGGGGGAGGCGAUCCCUUGUCCUUCUCGUUAGCCCACCUUAAGAUGUCUUCUCCCAUGGACCUACGUGCCUGGAAAAGAUCUUUGGGUGCUGAAGGAAUGUGCAGCCCAACUUUGUGUCUUCUCAUGAUCUACAUAGAGUUAGGUCUUCCAUCUACUGAGAGAUGAAACCCGAGAUCAACAUACCAAGGUCAUACCACUGGCAUGAUAACAAAGUAGGAAGCAGGGGCCUCAACCUUACCUGAAGACCAAAAGUAUCUUCAUUGGUGGAUCUUAACCAUCGUGAUUUGUUCCUUCUUGCAAGUGGUGGCUCAGAACUCCAAUAGAUUUUGGAGUUGGUCCGUCCUACCCAUCCCAACCUAGAGUUGAAAUUCCCCUUUUUUCCCCCCCUCUCCUUUUUCCUUUCUCCCUCUCUUGUUAGAAGCAUACUAUCCGUUGCAACUCCUCCUAGGAUUUGUCCAAGGACUGUUAACUUAGGAGGAAAUAAAUUUUUGGAGGCUGCGGAUGGGUAACGAGGAAGUUCCCGCCCAAAGAACUCUUUUCUCCCAUGAUUUUGUUCAUCCUUUUAUUGUUUCCCCCCCCCCCCCAUGCGUUCCAUUCAUUCUCUCGUCAUCUAACCAGCAUCCGUUCAGGAAUGAGUCAUCUCGGUCUUCUGCGUUCCUUCAUCUGCCUUCUCGUCAUUCUCUUUCAAGAACAGCCCCCAACACAAUGGGGAAAAAAAUAGUUAAGUUUCUAUCACUUUACCCAUAAUUCCUCUUUUUUUCUCUCCUCACCCCUCUGUCAAAAAAAAUACAUCCAAAGCCUCCUUUUUUGGUCUUUUUUUCCCCUCAAACACAGGCGCACACUGCUCAGCAUAUCCUCAACUCAUUUUCUUCAUUGUCUUAAUUUUGCUCUCACCCAACUCCAGCUGCAUCCCCGUUCUUCCUCUGAUGCCUCCGUGCAUGACAUGCGGCUUGCAUUCGGUGAAGUUAGUAGACAGUAAAAAUCGGGCAUGUCUGUGCUUGCAAUGACCCAGAGUGACCAGCAGGGGCACCAAAGAGUAAAUUGGCUUGAAUCUCUACAUCGCCCUCUAGUGGCGAUUUAUAUUUCAACGAGUCCAGCUGGGUUCUAAGUAUUUCUCAACCCUGGCAACUUUGAAGAUGGGUGGACUUCAACUCCCAGAAUUCCCGAGCCGGAAGGGCUGAUCCUAACGGAUCACAAAAGUACUGUGUGUCAGGUUUCGAGGUCGUCUCAAAUAAAUUGCAUUUCAAACAAAGUCUUUGAAGAAAAACUCCCAUUUAUUAAGCACGACAUUCUAACUCCGACUCCAUCGUAGCCAACACUGACUUCCAGACCCAAAACCCUCCCUUUCCGUUCCCCACUCCCCUGCACUCACUGGCCAUCUUCCAAGUCACUCUACCCCUAAUCUACUGCUCCAGCUCAAAGGAAUUUCCCCCCUCCCAUCCCAUCUCCUAGGGGAUAUUAUCUCCAGGGAAAAUAAGUAGGUGAAAAGUCAAACGUCCCUUUCCAGACGCCUCCGCUUCUCCUUCUUAUGUCAGCACUAGAGUAAAUGCAGCUUGAAGUGCUGACACUGUGUUUCCCCAAAAAUAAGACCGGGUCUUAUAUUAAUUUUUACUCCAAAAGACGCAUUAGGGCUUCUUUUCUGGUUAGGUCUUAUUUUGGGGGAAAUACGGUACUAAAUGCAUCCGUCUGUCUGACAAUCUUAACUGGGGCUUAUUUUGGGAGUAGGGCUUAUAUUACGAGCAUUCUGAAAAAUCAUGCUAGGAUUUAUUUUCCAGUUAGGUCUUAUUUUCUGGGAAAUAGGGUAGUUAAGUAUAAGGAAUCCCCCUUGUGGGCUGGUACAUCUCAAAUGACACUGUCAGGGGAAUUCUGGGAGUUGAAGUCUACACAUGCUGGCUGGGGAAUUCUGGGAUUUGAAGUCAGAAUAUGAAGAGUGGGAAGGAUCCUCGAAGGUCUUCUAGGCCAAUCCCUGCUCAAGCAGGAAACGCACAGAUACUGGUUGGAGAAUUCUGGGAGUUGAAGUCCACCCAUCUGAAAGUUGCUUUCAGGAUGACGACACUCAAGCUUGAGGAAAACGCCCAUCAGCCUUGAGGGACGUCAAGAUGGAAGAUUUUGGCUUCCUUCUUUUUUCCUUCUUCCACCCACCUAGUCUCUUCAUGGCAGAAAAAGGAAGAUCAUCCAAAAGAAGGACGCUAAAGAGACAUCUAAGACCCCUCUCACGGGCUACACAUGGCUGGGAGUUCAGCUGCCCCAUGUGACUCUUCCAGCCACCACAUUCGUGACGUGGGCUGGGUGCCUUUCAAGCAGAGGGAAGGAUCAGGUCUUUAGGUGCUCCCAUGGGUGAUGGGGACACCUAACAUCCUUCCUGGGUUUUGUGCCUUCCAGAUGUGGCCCAUCUCAACGGUGAGAUGCCAGCUGGAGAGGAGGUUCUGAAUCUGAGACGUUGAAGAACCCCUUCAGGAGAUGAUCAAGUUUGGGAGAUCCUAGACCCGUGAUGGCGAACCUAUGGCACGCGUGCCACAGAUGGCACGUUGAGCCAUAUCUGCGGGCACGUGAGCAUUGCCCUAGCUCAGCUCCAGCUGAUUUUUGGGCCUUGUGGGCCUACCGGAAGUCAGGAAAUGGGCCGUUUCCGGCCUCCGGAGGGCUUCCGGGCAGGGGUGAGGGAGGCCCUUUUCGCUCUCCCCAGGCUCCAAGAAAGUCCCUGGAGCCUGGGGAGGGUGAAAAACAGGCCUACCAGGCCCACCUUUUUGCCAUCACAUGCCAAAAGUGUGUGGGGGGCACAGGGGGGCAUUGAAUUAUGGGUGUGGACACACGCACGCAUGACCCCCCCCAUACCGCCCCCGCUUUUGGCACACGGCGGCAAAAAGGUUAGUCAUCACUGUCCUAGACCUUCUCGCUCUUCACUAGCCGAAGCAUCUGGAAGUUCAUGCCAGUCUAGAGAACCAGGGUUGAUCUUACUAGACCACGGAAAUGGCUCCUUAAAAAAAUAAGAUUCUCAUGGUCCAUCAGGUGUGGGACGUGGCUGGGAAGAUCCUGCUACAGGAAGGUCCCCCCCUUACGUUCUUGCUGAAAGCUAGAGCAAAUUAGGAGUCCUUGCUGGCCUCUGAAGUGGAUAGUUUUCUUGUAGGCCUUUCGUGACCCCACUAGAUAACAUCAUCCGUGCUAGUGAGGGAUGUGGUUUGCUGCUAGUUUAUAUAGAAGUGGCUUCCUCUAUCAGCGUCGAUGGGAGUGUUGUUUCCUUCUUGGUAGAUCCUUGAUUAAGCUGUUGUUUACUGUUUGCCUGAGUUGGUAGUUCCACCUACCAAGUUCCAUUAACUCUAUCAAGGAGCAAAUCUCGCUCCUUUUUAGCCGUGAUGAUGUUACCUAGUUGGGUCACGAAACGUCUGCAAGAAUGCAACCAAGCUUAGACAGCACCAAGGAACCCACAGUCAGCCACCUCCUCCUCCUCUUCCUCCUCCUCGCCACAAACCCCACUCCCUUCUAGCACUGAUGAUGCUACCUAGUUGGGUCAUGAAACGUCUCCAAAGAAGGCAGCCAAGCUCGGAGAGCCCCAAGGACUCCUCGUUUUCAACCCUGAGCUACAAAUAUUUGUCGGAGCAACUUAUUAGUGGAAUCCCGGCUACCCUAUAUACACACACACGCAUCUCUCCAUCCUAAAGCUACACAUUAUAAACAAGAUUGUGGUGUCGGUAGGCUCAUAGAUAGCCACUUUUGUCUCGCUUUCGUUCUCUCUCGUUGGGCUUGCAGUCCGAGGGGCAUCAUACCUGCCUUAACCAGAGGGGGGGUCAAGCUUUGUGCCAAAACCAAGUCUCUUGUGUCCCCGCCCCCACCUCCCCAGGAUUACGCCAAGGCAGUCCGCGCCAACUGUCUCUCCCUCCCUUCCGUUUUCUCUCCGUAAUUGUAAUUCUUCGCUGCCUCAUUCCGAAUGUCUUAAUAUCUUGUAUUUAUUUUUGUUGACCAAGUAAAUGCUUUUCUUUUUAUUUUUUAA